Molecule: non-coding RNA, 23 nt
Filed under: Cricetulus griseus (Chinese hamster)
Lineage: Eukaryota; Metazoa; Chordata; Mammalia; Rodentia; Cricetidae
Source: RNAcentral
UCCAAUGAACGCAUAGUGAGGGC